GGGUUGGGCUGUUCGCCCAUUAAAGCGGUACGCGAGCUGGGUUCAGAACGUCGUGAGACAGUUCGGUCCCUAUCCGUCGUGGGCGUAGGAAAUUUGAGAGGAGCUGUCCUUAGUACGAGAGGACCGGGAUGGACGCACCGCUGGUGUACCAGUUGUUCUGCCAAGGGCAUAGCUGGGUAGCUAUGUGCGGAAGGGAUAAGUGCUGAAAGCAUCUAAGCAUGAAGCCCCCCUCAAGAUGAGAUUUCCCAUAGCGUAAGCUAGUAAGAUCCCUGAAAGAUGAUCAGGUUGAUAGGUUCGAGGUGGAAGCAUGGUGACAUGUGGAGCUGACGAAUACUAAUAGAUCGAGGACUUAACCAUAUAA
This 361-nucleotide ribosomal RNA is filed under the name Bacillus thuringiensis. RNAcentral describes it as "partial 23S ribosomal RNA". It matches the Rfam family "Bacterial large subunit ribosomal RNA", at positions 2569 to 2925 of the family's 2925-position model. Lineage: Bacteria; Bacillati; Bacillota; Bacilli; Caryophanales; Bacillaceae. The record is from RNAcentral.